This is a long non-coding RNA of Gallus gallus (chicken), 395 nucleotides long. The record is from Ensembl. NCBI's taxonomy places the organism in Eukaryota, Metazoa, Chordata, Aves, Galliformes, Phasianidae.
CAGAGCCAGGCGCUCCCACCUGUGCCAGGAGGGCAGGACCUGAAACCAGCUGGAGGAGGCGAAUCCCUCUGCCUAUCCCUUCCCCGUGCGUAGCUGUGGGAGAGGAGCAGGGACUCAUCCCUUGGCACAGAGCUGACAGCAGAGCGCCGGGUCCGGAGGAGCGAAUAAACAGAUUUGGCCACGCAAAGGAGAUGGAGGCAUUCACGGGAGAGCAUCUGACAGCUUGGGGCGAGCGGAGAGCUGGCGCUGGAGGAGCGAUGGAAUCCCUGCGCGCACAGAGUGCUUCGCCCCGAAGGAAGCAGAGGGUUUUGCCUUUGCUUAACAGAGAGGAAAAGAAGCAGCAGAUCCUCAGCUUUGUGAGCACCAGGUGGUCCCUUUCCCAGCUGGGUGACCCC